Cynoglossus semilaevis (tongue sole) is the source of this 363-nucleotide long non-coding RNA. RefSeq lists it as uncharacterized. NCBI's taxonomy places the organism in Eukaryota, Metazoa, Chordata, Actinopteri, Pleuronectiformes, Cynoglossidae. The record is from RefSeq and is a predicted model, not a curated record. The transcript is spliced from 2 exons.
CGACGCGGGCACUGGGUCGCUGCGGGGCAGGAAAACUUUAGUGAGUGCUGUGGUGUCAGAAACUUUUGGUUGUCCAGACAACUCUCCCACAAUAUCACAGAGAUGCACUCGGCUCGCUCAGGUUACAUGCAGCUGGUUUUGGUGACCUUGUUUGUCAAAACCUAGAGCGAGGUGUCUUAUGGUUUGGUGUCCCUAAAUACGACAGUGCUGCGUACACGGUGACUACAUCAUGAUGCUGUUAGUGUAAACUAAUCCAUCAUUACAUCUUAGAUUACACUCUGUAGGAAAUGUAAUGUUUGUAUUACAGUUAAAACUGUUCUUCAAUGACUGGUGAUAUUUCUUAAUGACCCAGAACAGUAGCAA